AGUUGGUGACUGCUCGAAGGGGUGGGAGGAACAGUAUAAAGUCCUGUCCCCUUCCUGCCUUCAAGGGCACCCCUGAAGGACCAUAUCCACUGUGGACCCCCUUGGGAUCAGCCGAGGUCUGUAGAGGUGACAUUGCAGCCCAGCACCUCCCUCCUCCGCCCUGCCCUCCUCUGUCCUCCUUCCACAGGUGUGGCCAAGGGCACUGCCCAGUUGGCCUGUGACCCCCAGCUGAGGCUGCUUCCUGGGCAGCUGACUUCAAGUUUGUGACCUGAGCUCUCCAGGCCCCCGAGCGGCUGGUGCCUUGGCCCUGCAGUUCUGCGGCCAAGACUCCUCCUCUGGGAUCUCGUCUUACCCUGCUGCGGGUGCCAGGGCUGCAUGAAGCAAGGGCGAAAGUCCCCUUCGCCCGGGCGCUGCCCUCUGCCUGCUGUCCCCUGUGCUCCUGUUCCCCGUGGCUGCCCAGGGACAGCUUUUCACACUCUCUGUUGCCCUUGUCCUUGGGCAUCUCAGUGACUCGAAGGAAUUGGGUCUUGAGACACAGCCGAGCCUGUGAGCGCUGACCUGUGUAAAGAAGACACCAGAAUGAGAUGUCUCCACACACAGAGAGCUGCAGCCGAUGCCGGCCGGUGACUUGGGACUUGGAUGCUUAACAGGAGGCUCCCCCUCUCUUGGGAGGUAGAGAGCAGUGAGGAAGGGGACUCAGCCUCCAUGCCUCCCGCCAGCCCAGCUGCGCCCGAAUCACCUCCCUCCUGAAAGGAUGUCAGCCUCUGCUUGGACACCGUGGAGACAGGGCCCUCCUUGUGCUUCAGAAGCAUCAACGUGUCAGAAAAUCAUCUUCACGCCAAGUCUGGAAAAAAUGGCUUUGAGGUUGUGCACACAAAGGAAGGAGGGAGAGCCCCAGGUGUCGCGGAGGACCAUGCGGCUGACAGAGCCAGCAGGGCGGUGGCGUGUGAGCCGUGCUCUGGAUAUAUAAGGAUCUGACGCUGCUGGCAAUGUCUGAGCUCUAUGCUCGCCCAUCUGUCGGCUGCUAUCAUCACCGGGUGGGAUUAGCGGAGAUCCACUCUUUCAUAUUUAAAUCUUCACAAGAGAAUGAAUCACUUUUAUAAUAAAAGAAAAAGACCGUC
Molecule: long non-coding RNA, 1121 nt
Organism: Homo sapiens (human)
Lineage: Eukaryota; Metazoa; Chordata; Mammalia; Primates; Hominidae
Product: long intergenic non-protein coding RNA 659
Source: Ensembl